This 424-nucleotide ribosomal RNA is filed under the name uncultured bacterium. RNAcentral's name for it is "bacterial SSU rRNA". It matches the Rfam family "Bacterial small subunit ribosomal RNA", at positions 355 to 796 of the family's 1533-position model. The record is from RNAcentral.
UGGGGAAUAUUGGACAAUGGGGGAAACCCUGAUCCAGCAAUGCCGCGUGAGUGAUGAAGGCCUUAGGGUUGUAAAGCUCUUUCGGGUGGGACGAUGAUGACGGUACCACCAGAAGAAGCCCCGGCUAACUUCGUGCCAGCAGCCGCGGUAAUACGAAGGGGGCUAGCGUUGUUCGGAAUUACUGGGCGUAAAGCGCACGCAGGCGGUCCGUUAAAUAAGGAGUGAAAGCCCUGGGCUCAACCCGGGAAUUGCUCUUUAGACUGGCGGACUUGAAUCCGGAAGAGGGCAGUGGAAUUCCCAGUGUAGAGGUGAAAUUCGUAGAUAUUGGGAAGAACACCAGUGGCGAAGGCGACUGCCUGGUCCGGCAUUGACGCUCAUGUGCGAAAGCGUGGGGAGCAAACAGGAUUAGAUACCCCCGUAGUCC